CAGGUGGGCACUCCUGAGGCUGCAGAGCGGAAGAGACCACAAACACUGCCCACCCCUGCCCACAUCCCUGGCCCAAGAGGAAACUGUAUACGGCCUCUGGGUUCCCAUGGGGGAGGGCCCAGGAGCGGCAAGACCCCUGCAUCUGAGACACCUCCGGAACCUGAAAGGACAGACCGGAUAAACAGUUCUCUGCACCCAAAUCCCGUGGGAGGGAGAGCUAAACCUACAGAGAGGCAGACAUGCCUGGGAAACCAGAAAGACUGCACUCUGCACACAUCUCUGACAACAGAGGAAAACACCAAACGCCAUCUGGAACCCUGGUACAUGGAGGCUCCUGGAAAGAGCGGCGCAGAUCUUCCUGGUUGCUGCCGCAGAGGAGUGGACGUAGGCAGCACCCCGCGAGCAAACUUGAGCCUUGGGACCACAGGUAAGACCAACUUUUCUGCUGCAAGAGACCUGCCUGGUGAACACCAGACACAGGCCCACAGGAACAGCUGAAGACCUGUAGAUAGGAAAAACUACACGCCCGAAAGCAGAACACUCUGUUCCCAUAACUGGCUGAAAGAAAACAGGAAAA
This 577-nucleotide long non-coding RNA is filed under the name Rattus norvegicus (Norway rat). RNAcentral's name for it is "long non-coding RNA NONRATT000923". The record is from RNAcentral. Lineage: Eukaryota; Metazoa; Chordata; Mammalia; Rodentia; Muridae.